RNAcentral lists this ribosomal RNA (497 nucleotides) under uncultured bacterium. RNAcentral describes it as "partial 16S ribosomal RNA". It matches the Rfam family "Bacterial small subunit ribosomal RNA", at positions 28 to 507 of the family's 1533-position model. The record is from RNAcentral.
GAUGAACGCUGGCGGCGUGCCUAAUACAUGCAAGUCGAGCGAACAGACGAGGAGCUUGCUCCUCUGACGUUAGCGGCGGACGGGUGAGUAACACGUGGAUAACCUACCUAUAAGACUGGGAUAACUUCGGGAAACCGGAGCUAAUACCGGAUAAUAUAUUGAACCGCAUGGUUCAAUAGUGAAAGACGGUUUUGCUGUCACUUAUAGAUGGAUCCGCGCCGCAUUAGCUAGUUGGUAAGGUAACGGCUUACCAAGGCGACGAUGCGUAGCCGACCUGAGAGGGUGAUCGGCCACCCUGGAACUGAGACACGGUCCAGACUCCUACGGGAGGCAGCAGUAGGGAAUCUUCCGCAAUGGGCGAAAGCCUGACGGAGCAACGCCGCGUGAGUGAUGAAGGUCUUCGGAUCUUAAAACUCUGUUAUUAGGGAAGAACAAAUGUGUAAGUAACUAUGCACGUCUUGACGGUACCUAAUCAGAAAGCCACGGCUAACUACGUG